GGGGAUAGAUAGGUGCUGGUAUGUCUGACGGUCUUCAAAACCGGCUUAGGGAGUUGAAGCUUCUUAGGUGGGUUCGAUUCCAACAUAUCCCCACCA
Molecule: transfer RNA, 96 nt
Filed under: Smithella sp.
Lineage: Bacteria; Pseudomonadati; Thermodesulfobacteriota; Syntrophia; Syntrophales; Smithellaceae
Description: tRNA-Sec
Rfam family: Selenocysteine transfer RNA
Source: RNAcentral